RNAcentral lists this long non-coding RNA (27446 nucleotides) under Prunus persica (peach). RNAcentral describes it as "long non-coding RNA (PPER_LNC003924)". The record is from RNAcentral. Lineage: Eukaryota; Viridiplantae; Streptophyta; Magnoliopsida; Rosales; Rosaceae.
GCAUUCCUGAUGAUGGCACAGGCACUGCCAGUAAUUUUCCUGGUUUAAUUCCACCCCAUCCAACAGUUACUAGUAUAAGCAAAGAUAAUCUUCAAUCUGCUGCUCCAAAGAGUAGUAUUGUCCAUACAUCUGAUGCUUUUCUACCUUCCGCUGAUAACUCCAAGCCUGUCAUCUCAAAUGGUCCCAAGGCCCCACCUUUGCAGAAAAAGCUAGAGAAUUUAGAGCAGUUAAAGGAGGAACUUCGCAAGAAACAGGAAAUGCUGGACCAGAAACGAAAUGACUUUCGUCGCAAAUUGGACAAACUUGAGAAACAAGUAAACCAUCUGCCCUUACCUUGAAUGUUUCAUUUUCUCGCUAAUGCUACUUGUUUGAUAUGAGGCACAUAUCAUCUUGGCUUGCUUUACAAAUUUUCUCAUGUUAUACUCUCAUCUCAAUGUACCUUAUUUGCUAAGACAGUCUUUUUGCAUGGUUUCAAAGAGAUCUUAGAAAGGGUUUGAAAUUGAUUUAUAUAAAGAUGUGGGUGCAAAUUUAUUAGUGGGGUACAUGAUAACACUAUUAUUUCAUUAUCAGCUUUGCUCAAGGUUUGACUUUUUUCAGGCUACUGGACCCAAGGGUGAGGCAGACAUAGAGCAAGCUGCUAAGAGACCCAAAGUGGGAAUAACAGCUGAUGUUGGUAAAGUUGCUAAUCCAAAGUCCUCAAAUCCGACUCCUAUGGAAGAACUGCAUGCUGAGAUGACUGAUAAAAACAAAUGUGUAGAGAACGUUGUCUCCUGUAGUCCAAAAACCAGUACAACUAUGGUGCUGCAGCAAUCCACUGGCUUGAAUAGGGACUCCUUCUCCAGUGAAUAGAUACAAAUUGGACAAUCGUCCCACUGCAUUUAGAAUUAAUUCUUCCUCCUUUACCCGUUGGAUUCGCAAAUGUAAGUCUCUCUCUCUCUCUCUCCACCCCCCCCCCCAUCCUGACCAGUCGAGCGACAAAAAGGAGAGAAAUUAUUGUAGAACUUUUCUAUAAGUGAAUUAAUGAUCUCUGCACUUGGAUAUAUGGCUGCAAAACUUGGUGGAACACACAUUCCUCAAUGGAUGGGCCUAUGUGUUAAUCAGAGGAAUAAAGCAAUGAGUGCGUUUUUUAAAGCAAUGAUGGAGCAUUAUUUCCUUCAUAAUUGCCAUAAAUUUUUUUGAGGGGAAAAUANNNNNNNNNNNNNNNNNNNNNNNNNNNNNNNNNNNNNNNNNNNNNNNNNNNNNNNNNNNNNNNNNNNNNNNNNNNNNNNNNNNNNNNNNNNNNNNNNNNNGCACCAACCCCCGGGUUGAAAAGGGGCCCCUUUCCCCGGGAAAAAAAACAAAAUGGGCCAAUCCCCCCCCCCCUUUAAAAAUAAUUUUUCCCCCCUUUCCCCGUGGGUUUCCAAAAGUAAAUUUUUUUUUUUUUUUUCCCCCCCCCCCCCCCCCCCCCCCCUCUCUCUCAAAUCCUUCCUACUCAACCGCCAAAAAGUGACUAAAUGAUCUCUGCUCUUGGAUAUAUGGCUGCAAUACAUGUGCAUCACACAUUCCUCAAUGAAUGGGCCUAUGUGUUAAUCAUGAGCAAUAAAGCAAUGAGUGCCUUUUAAAAAGUAGUAUGGUAAGAUUUUAGAUGAGGCAUUAGGACCAUUUAUUAGGAAUAUAUGCAAUACUGUAGAUUCCAUUACAUUAGAGAUCAGGAUAAAGUUCUAGCAAACGCACAGAAUGAUUUCAAACAUGCUAUCCUUAAUACCUUAAUACUGCUAAAAUAUGAAAACUAUGAGAGAAUAUUUGUUUGUGGGAAUUUUCUGUGUAUUCUUCUCCUUGUAAGAGGUCAUAUUUAUAAUACAACGAAACCUGAAUAGGAAGCAAAUAAUAAAUUCCUAAAUCUAUUUGCAGUAGGAAAUCAGGAAUUAAAGUAAAUCAAUUACAAUUAUAAUAGGAAUUCUUGGUGUGUAAGGAAAGUAAGUCAAUAUCCACAAGUCACGCCAACACUCCCCCUCACGUUGGUGCAUAGAUGUCGUCAAUGCCCAACUGAUCUAGUGAAUUGUGGAAUGCUUUACUGAAAAUCGCAUUUGUCAAAAUAUCCGCCAAUUGAUCCUCGGAUUUCACAAAAUGCGCAAUCUGGUCCAUGUGUCGGGGUCGUUAGUCGAGAAGUCAUAAUCUGUGCAGCGGAAGAUGCAUAGGAUACAGUUGAGUAGGAAUUGGGAUCGGAAUAUGAGCCUGAGUCGAGGCCGGAGUCAGAGUUGAAAUCGGGAUCAGAGUCUGAAUCAGAGCCAAAUUCGGGGUUGGGGUCAUCAUCGGAGUGGGGGUCAGGGUCGUCUUCGGAGUUGGGGUCGGGGUCGGAGUCGAGGUCGUCUUCGGAGUCGGGGUCGGGGUCGUCAAAAGAGGAUCCUGAUUCUGGAUUAAGUUCGGGGUAAAAGUCUGCAUCGAGGUCGUCUUCGGAGUCGGGGUCGGGGUCGUCAAAAGAGGAUCCUGAUUCUGGAUUAAGUUCGGGGUAAAAGUCUGCAUCUGUAGGAGCGGAGCCAUCUGGGCACUCAACUCAACGAUGGUUGGUGGAGAAUGAGAGAAUGAGUCGGUGGUGCUACCUCUAUGAGGGUUGAAAAAAUCAUCAACCUCCAUAACACUAAAUAAAAUAAUCUCUAUUACAAUAGGACAAAAUAUAAUUGGUAAGUAACCAAAAUUCUAAUGAAAUAAGGACUCGCCAACACUCCCCCUCAAGUUGGGCAAAGAUAUUUCGCAGGCCCAACUUGACAAGCGAGUCACAGGACACCAUACUUGAGAAACACCAAUUGUAGAGAAGAUCUUUUAGUCAACCAAGAGUGAAACAAGUGACAAACUAAAACAAAGUUCACAACGGAAACACAAGAGCAAACCCUAAAAAAUAGGGCACAUAGCAAAACAUAGAAACCCUGUGAGUACGGGUGUAGAUAAGGCAGAACACAGAAACCGUGUGAGCACAGCAAUUGAUAAGGCAGAACACAGAAAUCCUGUGAGCACGGCAAUAGGUAAGGCAGAACACCGAAACCCCAUGAGCACGGCAGUGGCAACAAUAAAUUCUUCCAUAUAAACUUUAGCUAAUUCCCUCAGACACAACUUCUCUUCAAUCUUCCUCUCCCCCCCCUUUCAAGGGGGGAGAAGAGCACUUAAAUUUCAAGAAGAACACAAGCACAGGUCCCUAGAUCGAACCUGGCUCUGAUACCAUGCUAAAAUAUGAAAACUAUGAGAGAAUAUUUGUUUGUGGGAAUUUUCUGUGUAUUCUUCUCCUUGUAAGAGGUCAUAUUUAUAAUACAACGAAACCUGAAUAGGAAGCAAAUAAUAAAUUCCUAAAUCUAUUUGCAGUAGGAAAUCAGGAAUUAAAGUAAAUCAAUUACAAUUAUAAUAGGAAUUCUUGGUGUGUAAGGAAAGUAAGUCAAUAUCCACAAGUCACGCCAACAAAUACCUUAUCCAUAUAUCCUUCAUAUUUGCGGCGAGAGUAUCGCGGCUUCAGCUAACAAUGGAAGCGAUCCUCUGCAUGGUUCGUCCUUAACUCUUCUCUACAAAGACCUCCCUUGAAUCAUCAGUCAAAUCAGCAUCUCCAUACCAUAUCACUAGCGCCAGACGGCCCUUUUUUUUUUUUGGUGUUUUUUAUUUACAAAUAGUAUAGCCGGUCGGCUAUACCUGGGGAUUUGUUUAUAAAACUAGUGUCGCCGAGCCGCUAUACUAUUUUUACACGUGGCGAAACGGGCGCCAGGCGCCAGUCGGUGGUCCUUCUUUUUUUUUUUAAUAAAUAGUAUAGCCAGGCGGCUAUACCAUGGUUUUUUGUUAUAACACGUGGCUAUACUACAGUUUUAUAUUUAAAAAUAGUAUAGCCGCACUGCGAUACUAUUUGGGGCUAUACUUUAAAUCAUGUAUUUGUAAGUAUAGCCGCGCGGCUAUACUUUAAACCACGUUGGUUCAAAUCCAAGGAGUAAAGGUUAGACUGGGUUUUAUAAAGCUUACCCAUGUUUAAAUUUAAGUUUUAUCUGUUAUUAAUUACAUAAGAAUGAAUGAAAUUUUCAGAUUAUGCCGGGCAGUCUUAGAAAGGUGCAUUCUCCUAGAAGAGCACAUGCUCCUAAUGGAAGCUCUCCUAAUGUUAAUAACCAUACACAGGUGAAACAGAAAUUUCAUCCCAGAUCAAGCGAUGACAUAAGAACCUCAAGUCGACAGGCUGCUCCAGCACAUUUUGAAAAUGUGAAACAAUCUCAGAGGACCCUUCCGCCAUCUCUGCUUACUGCAAGAGAUAACAUGGCCCACAGUCAGUUUGGUUAUACCAAAGGGAUUUAUGAGAGACCAUUGUAUCAGGGCAAUGCCAAUGAAUUUGUUAGGCCUGAGAGCAGUGGAAGUAUGUUAUGUGCUUGGGAUAUGGCUCGUGUGAUUGGGCGAUUAGGUACGUAGUUUUCUUCUUAUGGCGUCCUAUGGUUGGAGCAAUAACUAGAAAGCUCAGUUGGGAUUAGAAUUAAAUGAAAAGGGUUGCUUCGAGGGAACCCAAAACCUCCAAGUUAGAUAAGCUAACAGUAGGAAUAUUAUUUGCUAUCCCAUUAAUGAAAAGCCAUUGGAAUUUUAUAUAUAGACUUUAGAUUCUAACUGAAAGUAUAAAAAUAGGAUAUCACUUUCUCACGACAUCUCUCCACUAUGAGAGUGACUAACUAGACUCCUACAAUUACUCAACUAAAGUUUAAAAGACAUGCAACUCUAUAAGUAUUCAACAACUAAAGUUUGAAAUUGUUGUUCUUUUGCAGCACUCAAAUCUUCCUUUUUCUUUAUAGUUUAUUAGCAUCAAACAUGUCAAUUUUGGGCUAACUUCAAACCACAUAUAAAAUCAUGCUUGUUUUUUCCAGAAGAAGAGGAUCAGUACUACUGAGGCCCCUUCUACUGCUUUUCAUUUUGGUAUAACUUUUAAACAGAGUUUCAGACCCAAGCUCAACUAAGUUCUUAACUCACAUCCAAUGUUGUUUAUGUAAAACAGUCGUAUUUGUAUUUACGUAAACAAAACUUGUCUUAGUUGUCUACAUCUGAUCAAAUGGAUCAACAAAACUUGUAUCCAUCAUGACUUACAUUACAAAACUGGAAAUCCAUUGAUCUCUUAAACAGCCAACUUUCUCCACAGAUGGAGGAAAAUUUAGGACAUAUGUCAUAGAACCUUAAACAAGAAUCAAAAAGCAAGACUUGGGGAGAGCAGCAUAAAAUUAUACAAGACGAGAGUAUCGCGGCUUCAGCUAACGAUGGAGGCGAUCCUCUGCCUCGUCCGUCCUUAACUCUUCUCUACAAAGACCUCCCUUGAAUCAGCAUCUCCAUACCAUAUCCCUAAUGCGCGGCUAUACUGUUUUUCACACAUGGCGAAGCGGGAGCUAGGCUAGAUGGGUCCUCUUUUUUUAAAAAAAUAAAUAAUUAGUAUAGCCGAUCGGCUAUACUCGGUGUUUUUUUUAAUGCAAAUGGUAUCGCCGGGCGGCUUUACUGGGGUCUUUUGUUGGAAUAUAUAUAUUUAAUAAAUAGUAUAGCCGCGCGGCUCUACUCGGGAAUUUUUUUUUUAUAAAAUGGUAAAGCCGCCCGGCUAUACUAUUUUUGACACGUGGCGAAGCGGCCGCAGGGGUCAGGCGGGUGGCCUUUUUUAUUUGUAGAUAGUAUAGCCGCGCGGCUAUACUACGGUUUUUAUUCUAAACAAAUAGUAUAGCCGCGCGGCUAUACGAGUUUGACACGUGGCGAAAUAGGCGCAGGCUAUGCUCGGAUUUUUAUAAAAAAUCGUAUAGCCGCGCGGCUAUACUCGCAUUUUUUACAUAAUAGAUAGAGUAUGGGCGGACGGCUAUAAUACAGGUCGGUUACAUGAAUGAACCCUUGUCCUCCGAAGCAAAUACCUUGCCCUCAAAAUUUCAACCACAACAAUUGCUUGCUUCGAAGCUCUAUAUGGUUUAACCAAGUUACAGAAUUUCCUGAUUUUCAAGCUGACAUGCACCCUUAAUUCCGCCGUACUGUUUGCUGUGCACUUUCAUGAAUCAAUGGAGCUGGCAUUUGUUUGUUCCAACACAAACAGAGCACUCCUCUGCAUCUCCAGCAAUAUGGCUAAAGCCGUGAUUAAUCCUAUCAUUCAAAACAUCCUGCAACCAGAGCCCUUAUAUCAGAACAAAAGCACAGUGGAAUAUGGUUGAAAUGCAUAUCGCAUAUACAGCAAACAAAGUUGAGCAAGCAAAGAGAAAUAUAACAAGCAUAAUCUCCCUUAAUUUACUGGACAUGUUUCUAAAACCAGGAUAAAUACAUUCAACCAUCAACAUAACUUUAGCCAAAGCUUCGGGGAAUUUUGUUACGACACCGUUUGAUGCAUAGGCAAAGAAUCAAAUUAAGGAAAUUCCAUUGUCAUACCACGAGUAGUUGAUGGAGGCCAAGAGGUGCCGUUACUAUAGAUGAGACACCAGGAUGCUCCUUUGCAGCUUCAGCUGUCAGGGAUGGAAUAUCCUGAAAAUAACACACAGCCUAAUCCAUUUCACCAUGUUUGUCUCGAUCAUCCAUCCAUACAGAGUUAUCAAAAAUCGAAAUUCAACCUAUAUUCAUUUAGUUAAUAAUAUAUUAUGUUGAGCUACCUGGUUCCAAUGUCUUCCAGUUAUCAAAAAUCGAAAUUCAACGGUCCAGUUGGAGGCGAUCAUUGGUAACUAUCAAAAACAACGUUUUUUAAAGGUAUAGCCGUGCGGCUAUACAAUUUUUUUAAAUUAAAGUAUAGCCGCGCGGCGCUACUAUUUGUUAAUGGUAGCUACGGUGUCGUUUCACCCCGGAAUUGAGAGCGGAUUUCCUGGACCUGGAGAUCCGCUUAGCCCACAGAGUCCAGCCCGAUUAUUAUUGGGCUCGUAGAAAUAAUAGGUGCACAUAAAAAAAACACGUUUUCUUUAAUUAGAAAAAAUAUAUAUUAAGAGAGAGAACGUUUUCUCAAAAAAAGAAAAAAAAUAAAUGCAUAUCUCUGAUAUAUUGAGUUAUUUUUUUUGUUGCUGUAAUCUUAUUUAGUUGGUUAGUUGCUGGCUGAUAUUAGUAUUUGAAUAUGAUGAAGUCUCACCAAAUAACUCAUUAUUGAUGGAUUCUAACAACUUUUGCUUGGUAGUUGUUAUGUUUCUUUCACUGUCACCAGCCAAUGUUCAUUUACGCAUUUGACCCUUAUAAUAUUGCCUAGCUAGCAGUUUAGCACAUACAUAUCCUUAAUGUUAUUAUAUUUCCUAUUUUCCUUAUCUCAACUUAUUUUUAUGUGUAUUUCAUGGAUCAUGUAAAACAUAACUAAUAUGAUUCCUUAAUAGAAAACGACGCCUAAUUUAUAUCAUCUCUUGUCAUUGUUUUACCACCAAAAUAAUUUAUUAAGAAAAAGAAAAACACACACACAAGAGGAAUCUUCAAACUCAGUCUUAACAAAAUGAUUUAGAGGAAAUCCAAAUUUCAUGUCGGUAUCAGAAAUAGAAAGUGUCACUUCUCUUUCUUCUUCUGUUUUCUUUUCUUGAGAAAGAAAGUGUUACUUCUUUUGAAUAAAUAAAACAGAACAAAUGUUGGCUUUAAAAUCAUUAUCGCAAUCGUUACCUUGCUAUUGCUUGCAGCAUCCUCCUUUUUUGACUUCUUUUGCAGCCUAUUUUUAGUAUUAUUAUUUUGGUUCAAUUAAUUUGGGAAUUGCUUUUAUUACAUAAUAUUUGGCCACAAAUUCAGCAUUUUGGCCGAUGCGGGAUUACCACGGUGAUUGUGUCCCUCGUCUUCUCCACCCAGAAUCGAAACACCAAUUUUCUUUCCUCCCAAUAUAACAAAAUAUAUAUAUUCAGCAUUUUGUAUCCAAAAAUUAUUAUGAAAAAGAAGAAAAUAAAAAGGGAUUUGUUUGUGGCGAAAAUAUUCUAUCCCAGUAACCAAAAAAAAAUAAAAAUUCUAUCCCAACAUCACACGCAACGCAACUAGGAAAAACACUUCCCAACUUUACGACAACGAACUUUAAAAAAGAGAAGGAAAAUCCGACCUCCCACUUGCAAAAGCCCAGUCAGUGCAAAUUCAACUAUUAUGUCUCUUCUUCUUCUGGUCUCUGUCUAAAUUUGCAAAGCUUUAAGCUUUUAGCUUUGAGCUUUGAGCUUUUAGCUUUGAGCUUUAAGCAAGCAGCUUAAUUUUGCCUUUAGCUUGCAAUUGCAUACAACUUACCAGUCUCGUGCCACUCCAAAGUGCAGAGGUUCAAGUGGAUCUGGUUCUGAUUUUCACGUGACAGAAAUGAUGAGAGAGAGCUUGAGCUCUCUCCUUCUUUCUCUCUCUCUCUAGCUACUUAAGCUUUGCUUGAGCCCUAAACACCCAACAUUUUGCCUUUGGGAGCUGAAAGUUGUUAAUGCAAGAGCAGCUAAUUGAUUGAUUAAUUCAUGAAGCGGAAGGCAGGUCCGCAGAAAGCACAGCACAAAUGGAAGAGGAAGCUGUUCGUUGCGCUUUUGAUGGGCUUUUGCUUCGGGACGUUGGUGUUGCUGAUGCACACUCAGUACAGUCGGAUUAUGACACUCGCUUCGUUGCAUACUCAGCUCACUCAACCCCCCAAGGUCGCCUUCUUGUUCAUCGCUCGCAAUCGCCUUCCCUUGGACCUGCUUUGGGAUGUUUUCUUUCAGGUAAUUGCUACUUUUGUUUUUAUCUAAUUUCGUGAUUAAGAGUUGUAGUUUUUUUUUUGUUUUUUUAUUUUUUAUAUAGGAAGAGUUGUAGUUAAUCAUAUAGAAAAUCGCUUGUUGGAAAUUUAUGUGAAAGAUGCAUUUUUGUUUAUGUUUUUGUUUGCAGGGAGGGGAGAGUAGGUUUUCAAUUUAUGUUCACUCUAGGCCUGGGUUUCUGUUCAACAAGGCCACCACCAGAUCGGUUUUUUUCUUGAAUCGUCAAGUCAAUGAUAGUAUACAGGUGGGACUUCCUAUUUCCUUACAUGAAUUCUCAAUUUGAAAAUACAAUAUGUCAUCUGUGUUUGUGUGCUCAUGAUAGUAUGCUGGAAAGGUUUGAUUUUGUACUGAUAGGUAUGACUUAUAAGUAUCUGGAAGAUGAAAAUUCUUAUUGAAAACUUCAAAUGGUCAAGUGAGAGAGUUAAUGUACAUGCUAAUUGAGUGAAUUUUACUUUUAUUUUAUGUAUAUUUAAGGAUUGAGUUGAACUCUGUGCAUGAAGAUGAUUUCUUUUCGUAUCUUUAUCCGGAUUAUUAUAUUUAUUUCAUGUGUUCUAUACCAGGUAGAUUGGGGAGAAGCAAGCAUGAUUGAGGCUGAGCGUAUAUUACUGAAGCAUGCACUUGAGGAUCCUCUUAAUCAACGCUUUGCCUUUCUUUCUGAUAGGUGAAGAUUAGCUUGAUCGUUUCCCCCCUUAGAUUUCAGUGACAUAAAUUGAGUUCUGAACUUCUGAUAGUUUCUUUUUCGGCAAUCAAUAGAACUUCUGUUUUUUGUGUCAUCUAACAAUAUUUCAGUUACUUAAUCUCUUUUCAGCUGCAUUCCUCUUUACAGUUUCAGCUAUAUAUAUGACUACAUUAUGUCAACAAGAACCAGCUUUGUAGACAGGUGAAUAGAACAACUCAAAUAUGUGUUAUUAUGUAUAUUUGAAGGAAUCAGUUGUCUGUGGUCUGCAGUCAUUAGUCGGUAUCUGCAUUCUAUAUCAUUACAGACUAAUUUGUUUCCCAUCAUCAUGACUUUCAUCAAUCGAGGCCUCUUGGGUUCAUCUUCAGAGUUCAUACAUAUUAUUAUUAAUAUGGAUCACAAUGCGACAAUAUUUCAAGCAUGGAUCAUUUUAUGUUAUCACUAAAUGUUUUGUGAACUAUGUUCUACAAUGUUAUAUAUAUGUGUCUUUCUUAUGAUGGUCAAUUUAAAAGUAUAUUUAACUAUUAACUUUUGGAGCAGCUUUGCCGAUACGAAAGAGGGCCGCUAUAAUCCCAAAAUGAAUCCUGUUAUUCCUGUUCAUAACUGGAGAAAAGGAUCUCAGGUACAGGUUCAGUAUGAUGGAUUAAUUGCCUCUUGAGUUUCAGUGCAACACUGAAAAGGAAACCUAAUAAUAUGCCUUUUAUUUUCUGCUGUGUGACUUUUGUGCCGAUCAUCUUAUUCUUUUCUUUUGCUUUUUCUCAUUGCAGUGGGUUGUUUUGACCAGGAAGCAUGCUGAGGUUGUAGUGAAAGACAAUACAGUCUUUCCUAUGUUUCAACAGCAUUGCAAGGUAAUUUUUCAUUACAUUGUUAUCUGACCAUUGCAUGGAUAAAUGUUGCAGUUACAGCCUUUUUGGUUAUUCCUGUAACAUAGUAUCUUUGUGAGAGAAUCCAUAUAUUGCAUAUAAGGAAUACAGAUAUUGCAGAAGGAUGGCUGCUUUUAUCAACUAGAAAAAAUUGGCAUAUUGUAAUGGUUAAAUUUUAUUUACUAAAACACUUCAACUAAAUUCACAUAUACUGUUGUACCUAAAACUGGAGAGGAAAGCUUUACUCCUUGCAAUGAGUAGCUGGCAUAUUAGUUCCUUAUUUUGCACAGGAUUCUUAAUAGUUGUUAAGUACCCUUUUUGUUUUUUACCAGUUGACACAGCACUCUAUUUGUUUUUCUUUGUUAUCUUGUGAAGUUCUUUUUUAAUAUAAAUUUUUUGGUUAGUUUUGGUUUUUUCUCUCUCAUAUUUUACAUGUUCUAUGUGUGGCAAUGAUGCAGACGAAGUCGCUACCUGAGUUUUGGCGGGAUCGUCCCAUUGUAAGUACUCUUAUUCAUCUUUUAAACCUUUACUUCAACUACCACAUCGGCUUUCCAAUCAAAGCAGUCUAUCACCAAUACUAACAAUCUUUUGAAAUAUUAAAUCCAUUUUCCUGUCCUAUUUCUUAUUCAUUUGAGGGCUCUGAUGUAAAUUUGCUGACACAGUUUUCAAGAGGUGAAGUUUGAUUUUCUAUUCUGAUUGCAGCCUGCUGAUACAUCCAAGGAGCACAAUUGUAUACCAGACGAGCAUUAUGUUCAGACAUUACUGGCUGUAAGAUAAAUUCAUUUCUAACCAUUGCAAUCAUUUGGACAGAAACCUGGAUUUGUUUCUUUAUUAGAAGAAUUAUGAUUCGUUAAUUUAUACCUGAACAAUUUUGGUCAAUAAGGAAGAAGGUAUUCAUAGGCAUUAGGCAGAUUGAGGCUUCAAUUGAAUAAAUUUAUGUGGGAAUCCAUUCAGAAUUUUUUUUUCCUCCUCCCCCUCCCUUUUUCUUUUGGAAAGCUAAAACAGCAGCGGAAGCUUUUACAUCGCCAUAAUAGUUUAGCUCUCUAAGAAACCUGUAUUUUAAAUUUCAGCAAGAAGGCCUUGAAGGAGAAAUCACGCGUAGAUCACUGACACACUCGUCAUGGGAUUUAUCAUCCUCUAAAGACCGUGAACGCCGUGGAUGGCACCCUGUGACUUACAAAUAUUCAGAUGCUACUCCUAUGCUUAUUAAAUCUAUAAAGGUAUGCAUAUAUUUGAUGUGGCAGCAAGCUGUCUAUUAGAAAUCAUAUAGUAAAGGUUGGAUCAACUAUACAUUGAUGGAUCUCAUUCCUAAUGCCCCCAAAAUAUAGGCAAGACUCAAAAUGAUGGAAACGACAUGGUUGUCCAACAAAGUUCUCUUGAUGUUUUAUGAAAUUAGACUAUUUCACUUCUAUCAUUCUAAUAUGUUUCAACCUGAGGAUUCACUGAUAUGAGACUAAUGGAAUCCAAAUGUUUUCUUUCUUAUACAAGCAUCAAACCCAUUAAACCCAUACAAUGGUUUAAAUGUACAUGUUUAAUAUUUGUAGAGAUUUUUCUGGACUGUUAUUUGAAUUUAAUAAUAGCUUUUAGCAUCAAACCCAUUAAACCCGCCCAUGCAAUGGUUUAAAUGUACAUCUUUGAUAUCCGUAUAAAUUUUUCUGGACUGUUAUUUGAAUUUUAAUAAUAGCUUUGGAGACUGAUUUGGAAAGUUAAGUUACACAGGUUAUCAGAUUCAAUUAAUGUAGCAAUGUCCCUGUUGAAGCUAGAAAAGCAUGAAAACAAUUUCGAUAAUUUUUUAUAUAUUUUUUUUCAGGAGAUAGAUAAUGUCUACUAUGAGACUGAAUACCGGAGAGAAUGGUGUAGUACCAAGGGCAAACCAUCCAAAUGCUUUCUUUUUGCACGAAAAUUUACCCGGCCUGCUGCUCUCAGGCUUCUUAACACGGUACGUUUCAGAAUUCAAUAUGUAGAUCAGCACUAUGUUCAGGAUUUUGCCUAUACUCAUAUUUAGUAACACAUGGUUAUGCAUGUUUUUCUAUUUGACAGACUGCACUGGAACUCAAACGGAGCAAGGAUUAAAGUCUUAACUCUGGUAAAGUUUGUUCUCAGCUAAUCUGGCUAGUCUUGAUACAUAUUAGAAAAUAGUAAUUCGAUUUGCAAUCAGCGGAAUAAAAGAAAAAGGAGGUUAUGUAAAUUUUGUUGGGGAGGGGAUGGUGGGGAAGGAGAGGGACAAGGUGUUGUACUGUGGUAUGUAUUCUUUUUAGAACAAAACAAAAAAGGAAAAAAGAAUUACAUAGAAUAAAAAUGUAACUAUUGCUUUCUAUGUCUCCUCCGCUAUACGAGAAAAACUUAGUUGCAACGAGAAUAACAUUGUUUUGCUAUUCUUCGUCAAUAAUGCUUUGUCAUGAGGAAGUGUUAUUAUGCGUGUCAUAGAGUUAUUGGCCAUGAUGGCAAAAUAAUGUUAUUCCCGUUUCAUGGAAGUCUUUCUCCCGCUCCUUAUAGGAUUUGGGUAUUUAAAUUCUUUAUCUCCUGGGGAGCUGCAUGUUACAUCAUGUUGCCGAAAGAUGGACAAACUGGGCCAGUUGACAACUUGCACCUUGACCCUUGGGCCUUAAAUCUGUGAUUUCUAAUUUUGCCAAUACAAUAGAGGCACUAUAACUAAUAUUUUAUUUUAUUUUAUACAAGUGAUAUUUUAUUUAAAUUAAUUUAGUAUACUUUGAGGAAGAUUCGAACUUUUGUGCAAAUGAAUAGACACAUUAUAUUAUUCUAACCAACUCGCCUCAAACCAAACAAACAAAAAGGAAAAGUAGAAAAGAUUUGGGCUUUGUAUAAUAAAGAGAAAAGUUUGGGGUAUGGGUAGCCUCAAAUUCUUUUUUUCACGGUUUAUAUGGUGGGUCCAUGCUGAACGCGUAUUGCCGGUCAUUGGUUGAGUGAAAAAGUAUUCAUUCUACCUCAAAGAAUAAUGACUGUAAUGGAUAUUUGGAUUGGGUCUGUUGGCCCUUGGGUGCAUGUCAAUUGUCCUUGUUUGCCAACCGAAACCAUCAAUGAAAACCAAUACAAUUAUUAAUGGUUUCAUUUCAUCGACUUUGACUCAGAAGAAGAUGAAUUUGUUGAGUUGUCGGUGUCCAAUUAUCUGAUAACCCAUCCAUCAUAUUUCAUAUAUACUAUCAGGCUUCAAAAACCAGACACGUAAACGGGACUUUAGCUUUUGAAAGGGCUAGCAAAUGCAUGCAGAUGUCCUCCACUCACCGGCACACAAAAAAGCAGCAACAAGGCAUGGGCAUGUGGCACUACAUCUCCCAAUAGCACUGCUCCCCCGUUUCCGACUCACAGCACCAGAAAAUACCUUUUUGACUUUGUCAUCAUCAUAAGUCAGACUACAUGUUCAUCAAAAGAAGUAAAUGAAACUUCUAAAUUAUAGGGUGGUUGGGUCUUGUUGGGAGGAAUAAAGAACUAUUGUGAACAAAAUCGUUAGUUUCUUACGAAUUUAUAAGUUGAUUUUUGACUGUCGAUCCGUUGUGAAAAAAUCACUUUGUCACGAAUUUGUUUGCGAGUGAAAGAUGGGAGAUUCUAUGUGGUCCUAUCCUAUCCUAUCCGAUGUAUUAUAGAAUUUCAUAUUACAGGUAGUUACAACGUAAGGUUUUUCUUGCCCACGCGGCGCUGUAUGGGUGUUCCACGUAGCACAUAUUCUUAUUUUAACCGUAAAAGAGCAUUUGGUCGGUGGAACUGGAUCCUAAGAUGUUUACACGUGGCAAUGGUCGGCACACUGUCAACUAUGGGCCUAUAUAGGUGUACUAGUCUAGUAUUGUUAAUCUCAUUCUACAGACGGAAUCGAAGGGUAAGCCCACAAUACUUAAAAGGUCAGAGGCCCACGAAAAUACCACACGCUUUGAAUAAGAAUAUUAUACUUUAACUUGUAUGAGAUAAAACUUCUGAAGAAAACCCAACCAAUUAUUUAUCCAGCAAAAAAGAAAAAAGAAACAUAAAACAAGUUUUUGAAAAAAAUGGAACGUAUAGAAUAUUAUAACCCAAGACACAACAAAAUUUGAAGAAUCGCAGCAUAAAUUUUCCACGGAGUUCUGGAAGGCACGUAACUCGUUGAUAACCUCUUUUCCUUUUUCUAAAGGAGAUUUUCCAAAUAAAUAAAAUAACAAUUUAAGGAGACUUUUCUGGUAAUUUGAUUGCCCUUCUUUGAAAGCGAUAGACAAGAUUUCAAUAGAUCUUGUCUUCUGGCUUAAUUCAGGGUUUAGGAUUUGGAAGUCAACAACCUCACAUAUAUAAUUACUUUAAAAAUAUUAUAUAUAUUUUAUUGAAUCUUGAAUCAUACUUAACUGACGAAAUUAGGACCAGCCAUCACUACUAUAUUCCCGGGGAAAAGCGAGAAACAAAACAAAAACAGAGAGAUAAGAUUUGGGCUUUUCGUUUUUUUUUUUGUUUUUGUUUUUUUUUGUUUUUGGGCCCGUGUCACUUUGAGAUAGUAUCAUAUUCGUAUAUGUGUAGAUUGAUUCCUUCAACUUUUAAAGAUAACAUGACGUGUAAAUUUAAGCAAUUAAGAAAUUAAGGUUGUAAUUUGUAAUUUAUUUUCGAUUCAUAAACUAAAAUAUCAUUAGUGAUAAUCAUAAAACUAAAAUAACACAUGCAUGGAAAAUACGAGCAAAACCUUGUAUUUAUGAACUUUUAAUUUAUUACCGUGAUAGCUUGUAUUAUAUAUGUCCAAGUAGUAAAACUACGUAGACAUGCUCAUCCGAUUGAUUAAAAAACAAAAAAAAAAAAGACAUGCACAUCCGUUUAAUUGAUCAUGUGCACAUGUAAGUUUUCAUGAACCCUAAUAUUUCGAUCAAAUUAAAACACCAUGCCUUCAUUUUACAAGUCGAUUGAACAUCAGCACUCAUAGCCUUGUAAUUUGCAUGGGGCACCAAGCCUUCAUUCAAUUUUCACCAUGUAUCUCCUGAAAUGAAAUUCAAUACAGCCCUUUUUUGUGUGUGUGUGAAAGAUAGAGAAAUUUUAUUAAAUGCGAAUAGAUCAGUUAACAUCCUUGGUUAGGCAAUUAAACAGUCGAUAAACAUUAUCCCAAUUGUGCCAACCACCAAUACGAAAAAUAUGGGCUGCCACCAAAUGUGCAACUUGAUUACAAUUCCGCGGAGCAUGCUAAAAGUCCACCUUGUGAAACUGUUGAAUCAGAUAUAUAACAGCAAAAAGAAUGACAUUAAACAAUUCGAAACAAUUUGUUUUCCUUUGAUGGCGAUGUUAAGCGCGUGACGUUCUCCAUUAAGGACCAAGUAAUCUAUAUGAAGAAAUUGCAGCGACAAUUGUAUUGGAGGAUGAAGCGUCAAAUCCAGAAAACUAUAUAUAAUUCAUGCUUUUGAUGUUACCGUUGAGGUUGAGGCCCGUCUGUAAUGGAUAAUUUGAGAAAGAAUUUAAUUUAUCCUAAUUUCUUUCCUUUUUAAAGAAACAUCAUACGGUUGAUUUAGUUUAUUAUUUUGUUUGAAAAAGUUAUAAUAUAAAAAAAUAAAAAAGUUACCAAGAUGUCUAAUGAAACUUCCACCUCACCUUCGUGGUCACUUUUCAUUCGUCUAUAAAAUGGACGACCCUAUAUUCACUGAGCCACUCAUCAUCACAACUUAAAACAGCAAGUUUUGGAUUUUCCUUCACACCCAAUCAAAGUCAUCACAGAUUCUUUUCCAGAUCAUUCUUUGAUUCUCCGUUCUGAAAAAAGAAAACCCUACCAUCCAUUUCUCUAUAUAAACCCACCCUCGCUCUUCUCCCUUUCUUCACCGCACCCAAAAACCAACACCUAAAACCUCUUCACAAGUUACCCUUCUGUGUUUCUCAUACACAUUCAGUCAAUGGCUCCAAGUUUGACUAAAGCUGCCAACGGCGACACUAACCUCGCCGACGGCUCUAAGCCCUCGUCAUGUCCUUUCACGCUCGAGAAGUCCAACUUCAAGGCAAACGGCCAUGUCAUUCUCUCCGACGUGCCGGAAAACAUAACACUCAUCCCAUCACCCUACAGCACCGCCGGCUGCUUCGUGGGCUUUGAUGUCGCCGAGCCCAACAGCCGCCACGUGGUCCCCGUUGGCCAACUGAAGGACAUCCGCUUCAUGAGCAUCUUCCGGUUCAAAGUCUGGUGGACUACCCACUGGGUCGGAUCCAACGGCCGGGACCUAGAGAACGAGACCCAGAUCGUCAUCCUCGAAAGCUCCGACGCCGGUAGGCCCUACGUCGUCGUUCUCCCCCUUCUAGAAGGCUCCUUCCGCGCCUGCAUCCAGCCCGGCAACUCCGACUUUCUCGACAUCUGCGUCGAGAGUGGGUCCACCCGAGAAGUCUCCAAUUCCUUCCAGAGCGUGCUUUAUUUGCAAGCCGGUGAUGAUCCGUUUGCCCUAGUCAAAGAGGCGGUCAAAGUCGCGAGGGACCAUUUGGGAACUUUCCAACUUUUGGAGGACAAGACCCCACCUGGGAUCGUGGACAAGUUCGGUUGGUGCACCUGGGACGCAUUCUAUCUUACUGUACACCCUCACGGCGUCAUAGACGGCGUGAGGAAGCUGGUGGAAGGUGGGUGUCCACCCGGGCUCGUGUUGCUCGACGAUGGGUGGCAGUCCAUUGGUCACGAUUCUGAUCCCAUCACCAAAGAAGGCAUGAACCAAGCGGUUGCCGGCGAGCAAAUGCCGUGCAGGCUCCUGAAGUUUGAAGAAAAUUACAAGUUCAGGGACUACGUGAGUCCCAAUGGGGGUGCCUCUGGUAAAGGCAUGGGUGCCUUUAUCAAGGACCUCAAGGAGGAGUUCAAGAGCGUUGAUUACGUGUACGUGUGGCAUGCGCUGUGUGGGUACUGGGGCGGAGUCAGGCCCAAUGUUCCCGGAAUGCCCGACGCUGUGGUGGUGGAGCCCACAUUGUCUCCGGGCCUACUGAAGACAAUGGAAGAUCUGGCCGUGGAUAAGAUCGUGGCCACUGGUGUGGGGCUGGUCCCACCCGAGGUCGUUGAUCAGAUGUACGAAGGGCUCCACUCGCACUUGAAGUCCGUCGGGAUCGACGGCGUCAAGGUGGACGUAAUCCACGUAAGUCGUUAUUUUUCUUCAAUUUUUAAUUCAAUUGGUUGUUAAUUAUUAGUUGGAUUUUGGUCGGUGUUGGCGUUGAAGUGUCACGUUGAAACUGCUAGGUGUCAUUAUUUUUGGAUGUGAAAGAUAAAGAGAGACUAUUUAACUUCUGUUAACUUACUUUGACCUGUAUGGUCGGCACGUUAUAUCUACUUUUCCUUUCCUCCUAACUUUUUAAUUUUUGUAAGAAUUUCCUUCUUUAAUUUUCAUAUUUACACAAAAUAAUUAAUCUUUAUUAUAUUUAUUUUAAUAUUUAUGCUGUAAACAGUUGCUGGAAAUGCUUUGUGAGAAUUAUGGCGGGAGGGUGAAGCUGGCGAAGGCAUAUUUCGAUGCUCUUACAUCUUCAGUGAGGAAGCACUUCAAUGGCAACGGGGUCAUUGCCAGCAUGGAGCACUGCAACGACUUCAUGUUCCUUGGAACCGAAGCCAUCACUCUUGGCCGUGUUGGUAUGUUUUUGCAAUUAAAAAUUUUCAUUUUGUUCUAACUUCUAACUCACUCCUAAUUUUAAUAAACAGAAAUUAAUCAUUUUGCAAAAUUUAUGCUAUCAGGUGAUGAUUUCUGGUGCACCGAUCCAUCUGGUGACCCCAACGGUACGUUUUGGCUUCAAGGGUGUCACAUGGUGCACUGUGCUUACAACAGCUUGUGGAUGGGCAAUUUUAUACACCCGGAUUGGGAUAUGUUCCAAUCGACCCAUCCCUGCGCUGCCUUCCACGCCGCCUCUAGGGCCAUCUCCGGUGGCCCUAUUUAUGUUAGCGAUGCCGUUGGAAAGCACAACUUUGAUGUGCUUAGGACCCUGGUGUUGCCCGAUGGCUCAAUUCUCCGGUGCGAGUACUAUGCACUACCAACUCGUGAUUGUCUCUUUGAGGACCCUCUCCAUGAUGGCAACACCAUGCUCAAAAUAUGGAACCUCAAUAAGGUAACCUAUCUUAUACUCUUGUAUUGUCAAACUGUGAAUUUGAAUCAUCGAUAAUGUUAUUUGGGUCUUAAGCUAACAAUACUUUUGAUAUGUAUGGAACAGUUCAGUGGAGUUCUUGGGGCAUUCAACUGCCAAGGAGGAGGCUGGAGCCGCGAAACCCGGCGCAACCAAUGUGCUGCUAAAUUCUCCCACAGGCUGACCGCCAAGCUCAACCCGAAGGACAUCCAGUGGAAGAGUGGCAAGAGCCCAAUUUCCAUUGAAGGAGUGCAAGAGUUUGCCUUGUACUAUCACCAAGCCAAGAAGCUUGUCCUGUCCAAGCCCAACGAGGAUGUUGAACUGUCACUGGACCCCUUCAACUUUGAGCUCAUUUUUGUCUCUCCGGUGACUGUUUUGGGUGCUAAAAAGUCUGUCCAAUUUGCCCCCAUUGGCUUAGUGAACAUGCUCAACACCGGCGGUGCCAUCCAGUCCUUUGUUUUCAAUGAGGACGAGAGCUCUGUUCAAGUUGGAGUUAAGGGCACUGGAGAGCUCAGGGUCUUUGCUUCUGAGAAACCAACAAGUUGCAGGAUUGAGGGCAACGACGUUGCUUUUGAGUACGAGCAGAGCAUGGUCAUAAUCCAAGUGCCAUGGCCUGCUUCUUCCACCUUAUCUACUGUGGAGUACAAAUUCUAAAUAUAGAUUCUAGACCAGUUUUUUUUUUUCUUUUUCUCAUGAGGACCAAGUCUCUCUUGUGCCUGCAACUUUAAUUAGGACCAAGGGACUUGGUAUACUUAAGCACUGUUGGCUAAUUAACGACUACUUAAUGAUUUCAAGUAAUACAAACUAUUGAGCUUUUCAUUAUAUAUAAGCUUAUAAGAUUCGCUCUGUUUUAAUUUUUUUUUUUUUUGGGUUGUAAUUUUCAUGUUCUUAGUUUUCCUCUCAAUUGUAUUUGAGUUGCCCAGUUUGUAGAUGGAUUUGGGAGAUGUAGAACUCCUUUGUGGUGUAACUCUCCACCUUAUUUCACCAUAUGAAUUGAUUUGCUGCAAACACUUUUGAUCUUCUUUUUUGCUACCAAAUGAACUGUUUGAAACAUUGUGCUUAACCAAGUAGACAAGACCCUAACAAAUUUCAGCCAUUAUUUUUUAGUAACUGCGUUCAAAGCUCAAAGGGAUUUGUAACUCAGUUCGUUAAGAGCAUUUAACCUUGCAUCCGAGGUCGUAAGUCAGAUUCCCCUCUCCCUCACUAUAGUUUUGUAUUCACACCAAAAAAAUUGCAUUCACAGAGUCACAAAUGCAGGGGAUAAUACAGAGCUUUUCCAUGUUGCAAGUUUAAUGCUUUUGCUCCUUUAGAAAAUAAUCUUGAUUGUCCAGAGUCAUGUUUAUAAUGGGCCAAUCCUUUGUCUAGAGGUCACAAUACGGGCUUUUUCAGAAAAAGAAAAAAGAGAAAGGGCUUUGUGGCCCAAAAAAACCAAAAGCCCAAAGCCCAAAGAAGUAAAUAAAAUUCAAAGAAAAAUAAUAAGACAAUCAAAAGUCGUAAAUUCGUAAUUUGGUUUUUACGUCUCAAAGAAGCGAAGUUAUUACAGAAAGGAGGAGGUCGUCUCAAAACGAAAUUGCUCAAACAUUGCCAAUCUUCAAGUUCAAUCCUCAGCAUAGAUAAAUAAGGAAAUUAAAUAAUACAAAUUCCAAAACCCGAAAAGGAGCAUCCAAAAUUUCAGGCUGCUGUUUGUAUAUACUCGAUGAGCACGACGUCGUUUAUGGACAAGCAGAUAAUGGAUCUGUCACAGGGAUCGCCGCAGCAGAACAACAACGACUUCAUCGACCAGAUGAAGAUGAACGACAACAACCAUCCCAAAGAGGAAGAAGAGCAGCAGGUCGGCCAUGGAAAUGGGCUUUCCAAUAAGCUAUAUCAUGAGAUGUUGCCCAGCUACGAUUUCCAGCCCAUUCGUCCCAUCGUCGGAACUUCUUCGCAGUCGCAGAGCCUCGAUCCCGCACCCAAUCUUGGAGGAGGAGGAGCCGCUAGGGUUUGGAACUCCGGCGAGCCCAAGUCCAACACUACCGCUCCUAUCAGAGUAAUAUUUUUAUUCCAUUAAUUGCUGAAUUUCAUGUUCGCAUUUUCAUAUGAAUCAAUCGAAGUGAUUAGAAGUGAAUCAGAAUUGCAUUAGUUUGCUUAGAAUUUGUAGUUUCUCUGAAGCUGCAUUAGUCUACUAGGGCAAGUGAGUGACCAAUCAGUUCGGUAAGGACCAUUUCAUUAGCAUAUAACAAAUUGGCAAUUAUGUCAGUUCAAGAGGUUAAUAGUUGUAUCUGAUGAUCAACACACGGCUUAAAGCUGCAAAAAAUUUAUUUGCUAGGUUUUGGGGGCUUUUUAGUUGUUAGUUGUUUUAAUUUCUUCUAGGUAAUUUAGGGAAUUGAUAAUUGUGUUUGAUUUCUAUCUGUUUUGAGAUUUUGUACAUUGUAUUUGUUAUUAGCAUUUUCAAAUUUUGUAUGAUAUGCUUCAGGCUUCAGGUGAAGUUAAAUGUUUUGUGAUUGGAGAACUCUAAUGAAUUAGCCCGAGGGCAGUGCGUGAAUUAAAACAACAACUUUUUGAUUGAUCUUGUUGCCAUGUAUGUUAAUUAUUAUUUGAGAUUAGAUUGAUCAAAGAUGGUGCUAUUGGAAGUAUUGAUGUUUUGUCUACCAUGAUGGGCUUUUUGAAUAUAGUAGCCUCCACUUGAUUUUUCAAGAAAAUCUUCCUGCUGUAUGGUAGACUUUAGGUAGACAUUUAUGAUUGAUAACUGUAUGUUAGCUGUACCAUUUGGUUCAUUUACAUUUACAUGGUGCUACCCUUUUUUUGUUUCUUACAGAAUUAUGGCUCUCUGGAUUCUAUUGAACCUGCAAAAGUUAUUUUACAGAAGGACCGAAAUGUACUUGAUGCUACUGUUGUGUCAGAGAUUGACCAGGCCAUGAAGAAGCAUGCUGAUAAUUUAUUACAUGUGUUGGAAGGUGUUAGUGCACGACUAACACAACUCGAGAGCAGAACCCGCCACCUUGAGAAUUCUGUGGAUGAUUUGAAGGUAUCUGUGGGAAAUAAUCAUGGGAAUGCUGAUGGAAAGAUGAUACGGUUGGAGGAUAUUCUUCGAGAUGUAUGUUGCCUUUACUUUUGGUGUUUUAGUCAAAUAGGACUUCUGUUAAUCUGGAAAUCUUAUAAAUAGCAUUGGGAGUAUGAUUGAUGCAAUAUGCAGGACGAUUGUUAGUCUUGAGCCAGAACUAAAUAGAGAGUGUGAAAGCAAAGUUGCCCAUCUCCCAUGCUCUCACCAAACCUGAAAUUCUUGAAAAUCUUCAAUCUUCUAGGCAUUUGAAUUGCGUGGUUUUGGAAACAUUUUUACCCCAACAAGAUAACUCCUAGUAUAUCUUACAGCAAGGUCUUCUUAGUUGGGUUUACUUGCUUCCAGGUGAAAGCAAGCAUUCAUUUGUUUUGGCAUGAAAACUUAAGUGUUGUUUAUUAGCACACUAGCCUAUGUUUAUCUGUUUUUCUGGCCAAUGUGUUUAUGCUGCUCUAUUGACCAUUCUUCUCUUUUUUGAUUUUUGUCAACAUCACAUACAGGUACAAACAGGUGUUAAGGAUUUGAAGGAUAAGCAAGACAUAGUAGAGGCUCAGCUGCAUCUUGCAAGGAUACAAGUUUCCAAUCCCAAGGUAGACCCUCAACCAGAACCUCAGAACGCUAUGCAUGGGGAUUCUGGGCAGGCAGCCGCCUCUGCUCCUCGACACUCUCACCAACAACUUCCUCCCCCUGUGAACCUUCCGCCCUCACUUCCUGCUGUCUCUCACCCAAAUGCUCCUCCCCAACCUAUGCCCCAAAGUGUACCACAUACAGUUCAACUUCCAAAUCAGUUUUCUCAGAACCAGAUCCCUCCUGUCCCUCAGCAAGACCCUUAUUUCCCACCGCCUGGUCAAAAUCAAGGAGCCCCAAAUCAGCAAUACCAAUUACCUCCAGGUCAGCAGACGGUCCCCCUUCCUCCAGUGCCACCACAUCAACAAUUUCAACCUACCACUCAACCACAGUAUUCUCAGCCUCCACCCCAGCUGCCUCAACAGCACCCUUCGCAUACACCUGUUAAUCCCUCUCAACUCCAGCCUACAUUGGGUCACCAUGCUGAAGAGACACCUUAUAUUCCUUCCCAGAACUACCCACCCAGUCUUCGUCAGCCACCUUCUCAUACGCCCAGUGGUCUUCCCCCCUCCCAACAGUAUUAUAGUCCAGCUUCCCAAGCGUAUGAGCCACCUUCAAGCAGAUCCAGUUCAGGGUAUUCUUCUGGGUAUAGCCCUCCAGCUGGGCUUGGUGAGUCAUAUCAUUAUGGUGGAUCACCUUCUCAAUAUGGUGGUAGCUCCUCAAUGAAACCACCACAACUCUCUUCUUCUGCUACAGCUCAAAGUGGAGGAAGUGGUUACCCACAGCUACCAACUGCUCGGGUACUACCACAAGCAUUGCCUACUCCAUCUGGGGCAGGGGGUGGUUCAGCUUCAGCUGGGACUGGAAACAGAGUUCCCAUUGAAGAUGUGAUCGACACCGUGACAACUAUGGGUUUCCCGAGAGACUAUGUUAGGGCCACUGUUCGAAAGAUGACAGACAGCGGCCAGUCAGUUGACGUCAAUGUUGUGCUAGAUAAGUUGACGAAUGAUGGGGAAGUUCAGCAGCCUAGAGCUUGGUUUGGUCGAUAGUAUGGUGUUGCCUGCUCCAGACCGAUGUAUAUGAAGUAUCACUUGUUUCUAGAUCGUCUAUCGCUUGGAACUUAGGAGAUGCACCCUUUUAUGUAUUUUGCGUUUCUCUUAAUUUCCUUAUGAGGGAUUUACAUUCCAUUGCGUGCGCUUUGCAUUGAACCUAUUUUCUUUCUUUGCUAGCUUCUGUAAGUGAUCGCAUGUCUUCCUCUCAUUUGUGUAUUUACUCGUAAUAAAUGGCAGGUGGUUUAUUGAGUUUUAUGAUCUGUUCUUCGUGUAUCAUUACACAAUUUUUAACGCUAUUGCAAAUUUUCCCUUGUGCAUUUUUCUGCAGAAAACAGGAAUCUUUUCCUCGCUUACCAAAGUGAAGAAAGAAUAUUAUUUCCAAGAAAGAGAGAGAAAAAGAGGAAUAUUAUUUUCACAGAAAACAUAAAAAAAAAGAAAAUGAUUAAACGUGAAAAAUACAUUUGUCAAAAAUAAAAUAAGAAAACCCCACCUUUCCAAACAUGCACGGACGCACCCCACCCAAAAAGGAAUAAAAAAAGAAAUGAAAAAAAAAAAGAAGUCUCGUGAGACACUUCCACAAUUUCCAUAAUCUUAUAGGAGAAAAUGCAAUUUUGUAAUUCUAGUUUUGGUCCACACUUUAUUUUAUUUAUUCCUUUUUUUGGCACAGCGUCGUCUCUCUCAAAAAUCCUGUUUGCUCGGCACAGCUCCAAACCCCCAAAACAAGUCACAGUCGCAAAACCUCUUUCUCUCGCAUAUUACUACCCCGCCAAAUCUCUCUCUCUUUCUCUCACGCAAAAGCUUUCGUUCGAUAGACCCCCUCGAUUAUCUCAUUUUUACGAUCCUUACCCCUACCUGUUCCCUCUGCAACUAUGUUUCUUCCCGAAAUUGCCUUCCAUGACCUCCGUGCAUUGCUCCGCGCUCCGUAGCGAAGUUGAAUCAAUCUCUAUGUAUGAAGCUUUAGGAGGCAUUUGUUGCUCAAUUCUUUUAGAACACUCGGUAAGAAUUUAUGCUUAAUUAUUUGAUUUUACUUUUCCGUUCUUUUAAACCUAAAUUAUUAUCAGCUAAUGCAAUUCCUAGGAGUUUAAUUUUCCAUAUUCUGUUGAUUAUAUUGGAUUACUUAUCGUUUUCAUAUGUAAUUGUGAAAGCCUAUGGGUUUUAGGAGUUUAAUUUUGAUAGUGCGGACGUGUAUGUAUAAAAUUGCAUUCAGUUAUUGACUAGUGCUUUUCAUUUGGGUUUCGCUUACUUAAUUUAUUUAAGCAGUUUGUGUCUGUUUCUAAUAUGGUCAUUGCUUUGUGCAUUAAUCAUAUCUAUAGAGUGUUGAUUUAAGUGGUUCAACGAUCAUCAUUCAUUCUAAUAAUCAGUGAACAUGAAGUACUGAUUUUGAAUGCUAUUUCGCAUAGCUCCAUAAAAACAAUUCAAUUCAUUUUACUUCUAAAUUUGCGUUGGCACAUGUAUGCUGAUUACACAAUGUGUAUCAAGUUGAUAUGGUUAUGGUGCAAGGAUUUCAAAUUGUUUGCACCUCAAAUGUUUUUCAUGUUUGAGCCAUUUUUUCUCUGGAACGGGAUGAUUAUCUGCUCUUAACAUUUUUCUUUUUUGUAUUUCCUGGGAAGUAAUUUUAGGUUCUUUCACUGGAGUAUUUAUAGACAAACAAGUAAUUUGAUUUCUGCACUGGGAAAUUAGAGCUAUUGGUGACAUAAAACAACAUCCUAUUGAUUUCAAGGGAUCAAAUGGAGUUAAAAGUUUCAUCUCCAAAACCAGGGGGCCUUUCUCCUUCUGAUUGUAUUAGUGAUCCUGAGGAAAAGGAAGUCAGUGAUGAUGAUGAUGAUGAUCGAAACCACAAACAUCGUAGACGAGAGACUCGUUCUCAGUCUUUGGAGAGAGAUACUCUUGACCAAGUUAUAGCAAGGCCAUACAGAAAGCGAAAUAAACCUUUUGCAAAUGGGAACUCUUUCAGGGAUAAUGACUCUCAAGCAAGUACAACGUGGAGAAAUUACAAUUCCGCUUCUCAAGACUUUUCUGUAAAAUUUGAUAAAAGACGCCCGGGAUUAGCAUCACUGCCUCGAGCACCUUUCGAUUUAAAUCAAAGAAUCCGUGCAAACCAAGGAUUUCCUGGAGACCCUGGUCUUGGUAGGGGAAGAGGAAGAGACUCUGGAUCAUGGGGCCAACGCGAUUCUAGGUUCAACUCAGAUAUUGCUUCUCAAAUGGUUCAGCAGGGAUCCAUUCCUCCAAAUCUUUUUGCUGGACGUGGAUUACCAAGUGUUUCCAGUGCACAGAAUGCAUCCUGGAAUGCAUUUGGAUUGAUUCCAGGAAUACCUAAUGGCGCCAUGGAUACACUACAUUCCAUUGGCUUGCAAGGAACACUCAGACCACCAAUCCAUUCUUCGAUGAAUAUGGGGAUUCCUCGUCAAAGAUGUAGAGACUUUGAGGAGCGUGGAUUUUGUCUAAGAGGGGAUAUGUGCCCGAUGGAGCAUGGUGUGAAUCGGAUUGUUGUUGAAGAUGUCCAGGUACAUUUAUUGUGCAUAUCUUUCCUGUUACUCGAACAUCAGUAGCAUAUAUUUGGCAUAGCACCAAUCACUUUAAAAGUAGAAAAUGGAAAGAGAAUUGUGGCAAUGCGUCUUUAGACUGAGGAUCACCACAUCUACUGGGGUACAGAUGUUUUAUGUGAAAAAUUCACCUCAGUAUAGUACUUUUUUCUUGGUAAUUAAUAAUGUGUUGUUUAUACUCUUGACGCUUUUAAGUUUAUCUAGCCAUUAUCUACUUGUCUGCAACCUGAAUGUUUAAUGCAAGUACUUAGAGGGAGACAUGAUGCAUGUUUCUGUAUUAUGAUUCAGUAUUAUUAAUGUUUUAUUGACAUUCUAGCUUAACUUAAGGCUUUAUUUAAAUGUAAUGUCUGCACCAUUAACCAUCUUCUUUCACAUUCAUUAUGCCUGAAUGUUUAGUUUUGUACUCUAUAUGCAUUGGCAUGUGCAGGUCAUACCUUGGUUCCGAAAUCUUUAGGCUGUGACUUGAUACCUUUUGUUUUUGUUAUAUUUUUUUGUAUAAUGCCAAUCAGUUUGUGCGUGUACCCACAAACACCUGUUUCUGCUGGUCUGUUAAUGGUAUCCUCGUUAUUGAAUGUUUAUUAGCCUUUGGAUGUUUCUGUGUUAAGAGAUCAAGCUUUUUACUUUAGGACUUUCUGCAACAAGAUCUAACUCCCUGUGUGCUAGCCAUUUUUUCUUUUUGUGUUACCUAACUUGCCACUGGUCAAAUGUUUAGCAGGGGGUUGGGAUGGGUAUAUGAUAUAUUUGAUUCAUCUGAUCACAACUCAUACAUGCAUUUAUUUAUCUUGCUGCACUUUCUCUUGGUUGGAUAUUUCAUUCUCUGUAAACUUCAUUCUUUGCUGGCCUGUGUUUUUACUUAAGUCCUAAUUUCCCUCAAUUACAGAGUCUUUCUCAGUUCAAUCUCCCUGUAUCAAGUGCACACCUACUGGGAAAACCCACUGGCCCUGGAUCUCUACCUUCAGUCAGUGCAUCUUCAGCUGCAUUGAUGAAUAGCAAAGGCUUACAUGGAAAAACAAGCAAGUCUGCUGUCAAUGAUGAUGGUUUGGGCUUGAACGGUCCAUAUUCUGGUCCUGGUUAUCUGGGUGGAGCUGAUUUGUAUGACCCUGAUCAACCCCUGUGGAAUAAUAAUGGUCCCGAAACCUCAAAUGCACUUCUAGGCCUGCAAUCACCUAGGAAUGAUGAAACUGAAUCCUUGUCAAAUGAUGAUCCAUCUGAUCGUCAUCGUGCCAGGUUAGAUAGUGCUGAUAAUGAAUGCCCAAUUAGAAGCGUUGGGACAGCUGCCAAUUCACAGAGUACAAGCGUGUCCGUGUGGGGUAGAAUUGGCAGUUCAAAAAGUAAAUUAGAUGUGAAGGAGAAAAUUGAUCCUACAAAUAAUUCUUCAGAUUGUAUUGAGAGUGAAACUAAGGAAGGUAAGGAGGCAUUAGUCAGCAUUCAAAAUCCACCACGUCAAGGGAAGCGUAUCAUGGCAGAAGAUGGCCCAAAAGCCGUGGAUUCAUCACCCAAGACACAUUUUGAUCCUACACGUAACAUUCGGAAACCAUCUCAAAAAGCAUUGCGUACUCUAUUUGUCAAUGGCAUUCCCCAGAAGAGCAACAAAAGGGAGGCUCUUCUUUCUCAUUUCCAAAAGUUUGGAGAGGUCAUUGACAUUUAUAUUCCAUUGAAUAGUGAACGAGCUUUUGUCCAGUUUUCAAGGAGGGAAGAGGCUGAAGCUGCUUUAAAGGCACCUGAUGCUGUAAUGGGUAACCGCUUCAUCAGGUUGUGGUGGGCUAAUCGUGAUAGCAUUCCUGAUGAUGGCACAGGCACUGCCAGUAAUUUUCCUGGUUUAAUUCCACCCCAUCCAACGGUUACUAGUAUAAGCAAAGAUAAUCUUCAAUCUGCUGCUCCAAAGAGUAGUAUUGUCCAUACAUCUGAUGCUUUUCUACCUUCCGCUGAUAACUCCAAGCCUGUCAUCUCAAAUGGUCCCAAGGCCCCACCUUUGCAGAAAAAGCUAGAGAAUUUAGAGCAGUUAAAGGAGGAACUUCGCAAGAAACAGGAAAUGCUGGACCAGAAACGAAAUGACUUU